This 90-nucleotide non-coding RNA is filed under the name chicken gut metagenome. Its description in RNAcentral is "TPP riboswitch (THI element)". It matches the Rfam family "TPP riboswitch aptamer (THI element)", at positions 7 to 92 of the family's 105-position model. From Rfam's summary of the family: Vitamin B(1) in its active form thiamin pyrophosphate (TPP) is an essential coenzyme that is synthesised by coupling of pyrimidine and thiazole moieties in bacteria. The record is from RNAcentral.
GACACUAGGGGAGCAUCUAUAUGCUGAGAGAGAGUUUGUUCUUGACCCUUUGAACCUGAUCUAGUUCAUACUAGCGUAGGGAAGUGGCAG